This 967-nucleotide long non-coding RNA is filed under the name Vulpes vulpes (red fox). Its description in RNAcentral is "lncRNA (ENSVVUG00000015753.1)". Lineage: Eukaryota; Metazoa; Chordata; Mammalia; Carnivora; Canidae. The record is from RNAcentral.
GUGAACUUGUGGUGGGCAUUGUUUCUUGGACUGUGGAGCACAUGGAUCCUUAGUUUGGGGUAUAAACGACAGGGGGUUGCUGACAGGUUUGCUUCACUUGCUGCUGCUGGGCUUUCUGGGGCAGGUGCUCUCUCCACUGCUGCUGCAGGAACAGGGGAGCCUAAAAGAAACCUAGGCAGUGGACACCAUGAGAAGUGUUCCCUCCACCAUCCCUACCUUCUGACUUCUAAAGCAAUGUUUCCUUACAAUGGCCAAGGACAUGAUAAGUGAUUAAUUGCCUCUAAUUGGUCAGUGAAUUGACUCACAUGCACCCAUUGUGAUCCUCUCCCUUUCAUUCUUCUUCUAUGCUAUUCUGACUUCAUUUCCUGUCUUCCUUCAUCCUCCCAUAGACUCCUGAUUUAACUGAAUAUAUAAUUGAUUUCUCAGUCUGCCCAGGAAACAAGAUGAAAUGCUGAGUUGAGGAUAAAAAGAUAGCGCAAACAUUUUAUAAGAUUGAGGCAUGAAGUCUUGGUUGAUGGGUGUGCAAUGUCAACUGGCUGCCUUGAGUAGUGCAGACAGAAGCUUUCCCUUGAGCACGAAGGACAAGAAUACAAAUGGUCACCCACAGGCUCACUGCCCCUGACCUGCCCCACCUCCCAGGAAUCGGCUGCUGGGCCAACCAGGAAACCAGGCUCUGCAUCUUGCCUCCCUAGGGAACAGACACCUGAGAGCAGACCUAAGCUGACAUCAUCCACACCUGUGAGAGGCCCAGAUACCUGUGUAUGUGUGUUUGUGUUCAUGGAGGACUUCUUUAUAGCCAGCCAAAUUGCAAGCUUCCCAGGGGCAGGAAGGAUAUUGAGGACAGAACUUCUACCCUGGUAAGAUCUGAUACACUAGCUAGUUGGUGAGUGGGUGGUCCAAUUACUAAAGGAUGCUGUUGAGUAAGUGAGCCAGGAAGUGAGUGAAAGAGAAGGGUGAGUAAGUAAGC